This 178-nucleotide ribosomal RNA is filed under the name uncultured bacterium. Its description in RNAcentral is "partial 16S ribosomal RNA". It matches the Rfam family "Bacterial small subunit ribosomal RNA", at positions 1325 to 1500 of the family's 1533-position model. The record is from RNAcentral.
GCCGGAAUUGCUAGUAAUGGCAGGUCAGCAUACUGCCGUGAAUACGUUCCCGGGCCUUGUACACACCGCCCGUCACACCAUGAGAGUUGGGGAUACCCGAAGCCUGUGAGCUAACUAUUUAUAGGAGCAGCAGUCGAAGGUAGAAUCAAUGAUUGGGGUGAAGUCGUAACAAGGUAGC